CCUACGGGUGGCAGCAGUGAGGAAUAUUGGUCAAUGGACGAGAGUCUGAACCAGCCAAGUAGCGUGAAGGAUGACUGCCCUAUGGGUUGUAAACUUCUUUUAUAUGGGAAUAAAAUGUUCCACGUGUGGGAUUUUGUAUGUACCAUAUGAAUAAGGAUCGGCUAACUCCGUGCCAGCAGCCGCGGUAAUACGGAGGAUCCGAGCGUUAUCCGGAUUUAUUGGGUUUAAAGGGAGCGUAGGUGGAUUGUUAAGUCAGUUGUGAAAGUUUGCGGCUCAACCGUAAAAUUGCAGUUGAAACUGGCAGUCUUGAGUACGGUAGAGGUGGGCGGAAUUCGUGGUGUAGCGGUGAAAUGCUUAGAUAUCACGAAGAACUCCGAUUGCGAAGGCAGUUCACUGGACUGAAACUGACACUGAGGCUCGAAAGUGUGGGUAUCAAACAGGAUUAGAUACCCUGGUAGUC
This 460-nucleotide ribosomal RNA is filed under the name uncultured bacterium. RNAcentral's name for it is "partial 16S ribosomal RNA". It matches the Rfam family "Bacterial small subunit ribosomal RNA", at positions 338 to 795 of the family's 1533-position model. The record is from RNAcentral.